AUCCUUUUCUGGUUCAGAAGCAUGAUGAUUGGGUUUUCAUGCAUUUGUGUGACCUGAACCCUGUUACGACGUCGGCAUAUUACCGGUCUGACA
Molecule: small nucleolar RNA, 93 nt
Filed under: Echinops telfairi (small Madagascar hedgehog)
Lineage: Eukaryota; Metazoa; Chordata; Mammalia; Afrosoricida; Tenrecidae
Description: Small nucleolar RNA U13 (ENSETEG00000025176.1)
Rfam family: Small nucleolar RNA U13
Source: RNAcentral